CUAACUUUCAGGGUGUUGAGCUGGAGCUCCGGAAACUUGAAGGGUUGGUAGAGGCCAUUCAUGGGAAUCUUUUGUAUCUGAAGCGCAGGGAAGCAGAUAUGAGGAUAGUAAGUGAAAAGACAAAUGGAAGAGUGGCGUGGUUUAGCAUAAUGUCCUUAGGUGUAUGUAUUUUGGCUUCCGCACUUCAACUCUGGUACUUGAAGCGCUUCUUCCACAAAAAGAAGCUCAUCUAAAAUAGUGUUCUUCUCUACCUUUGUGACUUUCUUUUCUUACACCAAGGAGUA
Non-coding RNA from Cucurbita pepo subsp. pepo (vegetable marrow), 284 nucleotides. The record is from RefSeq and is a predicted model, not a curated record. Lineage: Eukaryota; Viridiplantae; Streptophyta; Magnoliopsida; Cucurbitales; Cucurbitaceae.